CCCUACGGGACGCAGCAGUGAGGAAUAUUGGUCAAUGGUCGGGAGACUGAACCAGCCAAGCCGCGUGAGGGAUGAAGGUACAGAGUAUCGUAAACCUCUUUUGUCAGGGAACGACGGCGGGGACGUGUCCCCGGAUGAGUGUACCUGCAGAAAAAGCAUCGGCUAACUCCGUGCCAGCAGCCGCGGUAAUACGGAGGAUGCGAGCGUUAUCCGGAUUUAUUGGGUUUAUUGGGUGCGCAGGCGGUCUGUUAAUUCAGCGGUCAAAGCACG
Molecule: ribosomal RNA, 270 nt
Filed under: uncultured bacterium
Lineage: Bacteria
Description: partial 16S ribosomal RNA
Rfam family: Bacterial small subunit ribosomal RNA
Source: RNAcentral